Zingiber officinale is the source of this 881-nucleotide long non-coding RNA. RefSeq lists it as uncharacterized. NCBI's taxonomy places the organism in Eukaryota, Viridiplantae, Streptophyta, Magnoliopsida, Zingiberales, Zingiberaceae. The record is from RefSeq and is a predicted model, not a curated record. The transcript has 3 exons.
CUCCUCUCCCUCGUCGUUUCCUUCUCCCCCUCACGCGUGCCCUAGCAUUUCCUCUCCGAGCCAUCCCCGACGCCAAGCCUGCCCUAACUGCUCCACCAACUGGCGCCGCUUCUCUUCUCCUCUGCGCGCCGACACCGAUCCAGCGCCCCGCCUGUCGAGCCACCUUCCCGAUCCCUUCUUCCCUUUGUGCUGCAACUGACGCCGGUUCACAGCCCAAGCACCGGCGACGCUCGAGCCACUAUCAGUUAAGCCUUCGCCCUCUUCUGAUUUGUUGCGCGCCGACGCCACUGUGUGCCGCUCCCCGACACUGACAUCUUCUCCUCGCCGGCACCCAAACACCGCCGACAUCUGCUAUGGGCCGACGCCGGAGCAGGGGUGUUGCUGUCCUUGUUGUGCCCUAGCGCAGUGGCUGACCCUCCUUUUCUUUGGAUUUUUCUCGACUUGUGCCCUAGCACAGUCGCUGAUUUCAUCUCUCUCCCUCCGGUGGACAGCGAUUGGAAGGAGGGAGGUGUCGGAUACAAUUGGUUGUUGUAUUCCCUGUUCAGAUCUUGGUCAUCUUCUUGCGGCUGAUAGGGUGGAUUUCGAUAGGGAGGUGUUGUUUGGUGGCUUUCUGGGUUUCGGCAGCAACUAUCCCGAUUGAGGUUGUUAUUCUGUGGAGGUGUUUUUGAGUUAUCAGGCAGAGCCUAGGAGGUUUGUGCUUGAUCAGUAACCUUCCGGCUUGAUUCCAAUCUUGAUCCGAUCCAGUGAGGAUCUGUGAAGGUGAUCUUGGUUCCGAUAGCAACACCCGUUUUGAUCCAGCAUCAACAGUAGCUGAGAAUAAGGACUUUGACACGAGACGAGUAUCUCGACUACUGGUUUGGACUUUUCGAUUUGGAGGCGGG